GACGAACGCUGGCGGCGUGCUUAACACAUGCAAGUCGAACCAAUUGGCGAACGGGUGAGUAACGCGUAAUCAACCUGCCCUUCAGAGGGGGACAACAGUUGGAAACGACUGCUAAUACCGCAUACCGAAGGAUGGCAUUGCGUCUGAUUAGGUAGUUGGAGGGGUAACGGCCCAACAAGGCGAGGAUCAGUAGGCGGGCUGAGAGAGUGAGAGGGCACAUUGUGAGUGAGAGACGGCCCAGACUCCUAGGGGAGGCAGCAGUGGGGGAUCUUCCGCAAGUGACGAAAGUCUGGCGGAGCAAAGCCGCGUGAGUGAUGACGGCCUUCGGGUUGUAAAGCUCUGUUAAUCGGGGCGCGGUACCGGAAGAGAAAGCCACGGCUAACUACGUGCCAGCAGCCGCGGUAAUUC
This 408-nucleotide ribosomal RNA is filed under the name uncultured bacterium. RNAcentral's name for it is "partial 16S ribosomal RNA". It matches the Rfam family "Bacterial small subunit ribosomal RNA", at positions 28 to 526 of the family's 1533-position model. The record is from RNAcentral.